RNAcentral lists this ribosomal RNA (882 nucleotides) under Triticum aestivum (bread wheat). RNAcentral's name for it is "partial small subunit ribosomal RNA". Lineage: Eukaryota; Viridiplantae; Streptophyta; Magnoliopsida; Poales; Poaceae. The record is from RNAcentral.
AUGACCGCUCUCGACUUCAUGCCCGCCGAGAAGGCUCCCCAAGCCGGCACAGUCGCUCUCGGCGCCACCACCAACAAUGCCGUCGCCGUGCAGGUGCAGCAGCAGCAGCACAGGAGGCUGGAGGGGAAGGUGGCCAUCGACGACGCGGUUGGGGAGGCGCUGGCGGCCGCGCUGGGCGGGGCCUGCUGCACCUACGUGCACUGCGACGUGUCGGUUGAGGCCGACGUGGAGCGCGCCGUCGGGUACUGCGUGGCGCGGCACGGGCGGCUGGACGUCCUCUGCAACAACGCCGGCGUGCUGGGCCGGCAGGCGCCCCCGGCGAGCAACGGCGCCAAGAGCAGCGGCAUCGCGUCCCUGGACGCCGCCGAGUUUGACCGCGUGCUGCGCGUGAACACGCUCGGCGCGGCCCUCGGCAUGAAGCACGCGGCGCGGGCCAUGCUUCUGCGCCGCGGCGGCGGGAGCAUCGUGUCCGUGGCGAGCGUGGCGGGCGUGCUCGGCGGGAUGGGCCCCCACGCGUACACGGCGUCGAAGCACGCGCUGGUGGGGCUGACCAAGAACGCGGCCUGCGAGCUCGGGGAGCACGGCAUCCGGGUGAACUGCGUCUCCCCCUUCGGCGUGGCCACGCCAAUGCUGGUGAACGCGUGGCGUCAUGGCGAGGACGAGGAAGGGGGCGCGCUGCCGGCGCCGGUGAGCGCGGAGGAGGUGGAGAAGACGGAGGAGAUGGUGCGGGGCAUGGCGACGCUCAAGGGCCCGACUCUUAGAGCCAGGGACAUCGCAGAGGCGGCACUGUUCCUGGCCAGCGACGAGUCGAGGUACAUCUCCGGGCACAACCUCGUCGUGGACGGCGGCGUCACCACCUCCAGGAACGUCAUCGGGCUGUGA